AUAUUAUCUAAGUUCUAUCUGUUCUUAUCAGCUUGAUCUCUGAUAUGUCCUCGCUGUGAGGACUGUAUGUUAGCUCGAUUUUUGAAAUGAGGGGGUCAGAACAGAAGCUUGCUUUGUCUGCCCCAUACAUCGACCUGGUAUUGCACUGUCUCCAGAAACGGUGUAUCUCCC
Molecule: small nuclear RNA, 171 nt
Organism: Gopherus evgoodei (Goodes thornscrub tortoise)
Lineage: Eukaryota; Metazoa; Chordata; Testudines; Testudinidae
Gene: U2
Rfam family: U2 spliceosomal RNA
About the family: U2 is a small nuclear RNA (snRNA) component of the spliceosome (involved in pre-mRNA splicing). Complementary binding between U2 snRNA (in an area lying towards the 5' end but 3' to hairpin I) and the branchpoint sequence (BPS) of the intron results the bulging out of an unpaired adenosine, on the BPS, which initiates a nucleophilic attack at the intronic 5' splice site, thus starting the first of two transesterification reactions that mediate splicing.
Source: Ensembl